This 518-nucleotide ribosomal RNA is filed under the name Cytospora fraxiicola. Its description in RNAcentral is "Cytospora sp. ICS-2019b partial large subunit ribosomal RNA". It matches the Rfam family "Eukaryotic large subunit ribosomal RNA", at positions 89 to 630 of the family's 3401-position model. The record is from RNAcentral. Lineage: Eukaryota; Fungi; Ascomycota; Sordariomycetes; Diaporthales; Cytosporaceae.
GCGAGUGAAGCGGCAACAGCUCAAAUUUGAAAGCUGGCUUAGGCCCGCAUUGUAAUUUGCAGAGGAUGCUUCUGGCGAGGUGCCUUCCGAGUUCCCUGGAACGGGACGCCAUAGAGGGUGAGAGCCCCGUAUGGAUGGACACCAAACCUGUGUGAAGCUCCUUCAACGAGUCGAGUAGUUUGGGAAUGCUGCUCUAAAUGGGAGGUAAAUCUCUUCUAAAGCUAAAUACCGGCCAGAGACCGAUAGCGCACAAGUAGAGUGAUCGAAAGAUGAAAAGCACCUUGAAAAGGGGGUUAAACAGUACGUGAAAUUGUUGAAAGGGAAGCGCUUGUGACCAGACUUGCGCCGGGCAGCUCAUCAGGGGUUCUCCCCUGUGCACUCUGCCCGGCUCAGGCCAGCAUCGGUUCUCGUGGGAGGAUAAGAACGGUAGGAACGUGGCCCCCCUCCGGGGGGGUGUUAUAGCCUGCCGUACGAUACUCCCGUGGGGACCGAGGUUCGCGCUCCGCAAGGAUGCUGGC